This 633-nucleotide ribosomal RNA is filed under the name uncultured organism. RNAcentral's name for it is "bacterial SSU rRNA". It matches the Rfam family "Bacterial small subunit ribosomal RNA", at positions 742 to 1387 of the family's 1533-position model. The record is from RNAcentral.
GACGCUGAAGGCGAAAGCUAGGGGAGCGAACGGGAUUAGAAACCCCGGUAGUCCUAGCCGUAAACGAUGGAUGCUGGGUGUGGGGGGUAUAGAUCCCCUCCGUGCCGAAGCUAACGCGUUAAGCAUCCCGCCUGGGGAUUACGGCCGCAAGGCUUAAACUCAAACGAAUUGACGGGGGCCCGCACAAGCAGCGGAGCGUGUGGUUUAAUUCGAUGCUACACGAAGAACCUUACCUGGGCUUGACAUGUAGGUAGUAGUGAAGCGAAAGCGGAACGACCCUUCGGGGAGCCUACACAGGUGCUGCAUGGCUGUCGUCAGUUCGUGCCGUGAGGUGUCGGGUUAAGUCCCGUAACGAACGCAACCCUUGCCCUUAGUUACAUGUGUCUAAGGGGACUGCCCGGGACAACUGGGAGGAAGGUGGGGAUGACGUCAAGUCAGCAUGGCCUUUAUGUCCAGGGCUACACACACGCUACAAUGGCCGGUACAAUGGGUCGCCAAGCCGUGAGGCGGAGCCAAUCCCCCAAAGCCGGUCUAAGUUCGGAUUGUGGGCUGCAACUCGCCCAUAUGAAGCUGGAGUUGCUAGUAACCGCGCGUCAGCAAUAGUGCGGUGAAUACGUUCCCGGGCCUUGUACA